Non-coding RNA from Saimiri boliviensis boliviensis (Bolivian squirrel monkey), 547 nucleotides. Lineage: Eukaryota; Metazoa; Chordata; Mammalia; Primates; Cebidae. The record is from RefSeq and is a predicted model, not a curated record.
AUGCUUUCUGGGAAGUGUAGUCUUAGGUGCCUAGGUUUCUUGCCGGCCACGAAAUCUUACAGCUAUAGUUAACUAAGGGCAGAAAAGCUAACAAUCCUCAGCGUUCGGGCAAAGGGCAGAGAAUCCAGCCAGAAGCAACAAGUAGAUCUAAUGACCUUCUCCAGGAGUGGAGGACUCACUACCUCACUGAAGUCUCACAGAGUCAAAAAUGUGUCUCUACCUACUGAUGCCAGAACAGUCCCCUGCUGCCACAUGGAAUGACUCAUCUCUCUUCCUCAAGUCAGCCUUUCCUGUAUUUCAUGAUCGCAAACCUUAUCCUUAUGUUGCCAGCAGUAACAUUUUGUAUCCUGCACCCACUCCACCAUGUCCUUUUCCUCCCACUGAUCUUCACUCUGCCUUCUCUAGGGGAACUCAACAGUAUUUCUGAGAAGAGUGCUGGCAUCUCUUCAUCCCUAGAGUGAUGCUGUCAUCUCCAUCUUGAAUGUCUCAGCUGACAUGGCCCGCUAAACUUAAACUCAUAGGUGGGACAAUCGCUUGAACCCAGGAG